RNAcentral lists this long non-coding RNA (2423 nucleotides) under Homo sapiens (human). RNAcentral's name for it is "HSALNT0404337". The record is from RNAcentral. Lineage: Eukaryota; Metazoa; Chordata; Mammalia; Primates; Hominidae.
CCGGUGACUGCGGACGGAUGAAUAGACGCUGCGGGUCACUGCGCUCUCCCCUGGGUGAGCAGAGCUUCUCACGCUUCUCACGGGUCUCGACGUGCGCAUCAGCUGCCCUGCUUUUCUUUGCUUUUUUUUUUUCCUUAAUUGCGGAGUCACAUGCAGUUGUAAGAAAUCAUUCACUUUGCCUAGUUUCCCCCAGUGUUACCACUUUGCAAAACUUUGCCAAAAAAAAAAGUCCAAUCUCACAACCAGGAUAUUGACUUUGAUACAGUCACCGAUCUUAUUCAGUUUUGCCGUUUUACUCGUCUUCCUUUGCAUGUAUUAGUUUUACACAAUGUAAUCAUCUGUGUACCUUCCCGUAUCCACCCCCACCUGGCCACUCCUGUGGCGAUUUUACAGCCGCACCCCGGAGCCCUGGCAUCACUAAUCUUUCCUCUAUUUCUAAAAUUGUUUUAUUUCAGAAAUGUUAUGUUUAGAUACAGGAAUCAUACAGCGCCUAAUUUUUUGAAAUUGGCUUUCUUCACUCGUUAGUCUAAUUCCCUGCAGGUUCACGUCUUGCUUUUUUACACGAGUUUCCUCUCAGAAAGUAACUUUUUUUAAAAAAUUACCCAACAGCAAAUCUAAAGUCCAUUUCAAAUGCAAGAGUUCCCUCAUCCUUUCCUAAAUAACAGCCUCUUUUUACAGGUAGAACAGAUGGUUUGAAAAGGAAAGAUUUUUUUUUCACAUAUGGGGAAAAAAAAUUCCCAGCCUUGGAAGGAUAUUUGGGUUAGAGGCCGAAGUGCAUCACAGAUCACGCACGCGUCCACACCUCAGAAAACACUCACUCAUUCCUGAGACGCAACGCAACCUCCAAAAACCCAACUUUGCAAAGAUAUGGCAUCGUCAGAAGAAAUGGGGUGCAAUCUAAUGUUGACAGUGUGGAUGAGAGUGGGACACCUGCCAGUUGUUUGCAUCAGCAGACACUCAGAGUCCAUGGAAAAAAUGAGCCUAGAGGUUUUUAAACCACAACACAAGCAAAAGGCACCUGGUCCCGUUCCUCUUAAGACAGAAGAAAGAGGCGUAAAACCAGCUCCAGGUGCCACCCUUAAGAAAUGUUACAGUGCCGGAUGGGAAGAGUAAACCCUGAACAUCUCUUCUUAAUACUUUACAGACUUCAAGUGUAUUUUAUGGUGACAAAGCAUAUUGAAGACAAAUGAAACUCUACAACCCUGAAAACCAGCCUGAAUUAUUUUGAGAGACAGACAGUGGCUGCAAGGAGAAGCGUCGGGAUUUUCUGGGCUGGCCAUCUCCAGUGUCACUGACCCCGGUCUACCCCUGCAUGUUUGUUUACGGGAAAGGAGUUGAGGAGGAGGAUGUAUGGCUGAGAGCCUGAAAAUAAUCCAGGGCAGGUGGAGCGAGGAGAGGACUUUACUCCUCACACUCAUGUAGGCAUCCUGAAAAGCCACUUUUCUUUCCAAGGUGGGCACGGGCCUUGAGCUUGGAGUGGAGCCAGUUAAAGUUGUCCGCUCUGGGUCGUCAGAUGGAGAUCUUAUCUUGGGUCAUGAAUUGUGGUUUUAGGAGAAAGGCAGAAGCUAAACCCAUCUUCUGUCUGGUGGGGAGGCCCAGCAAAGGGCUCAGAAACACAGCCACAGGCCUCUUGCAGCAGCUGGAUGCACAUUUCAGGAGGUUGCCUGAAAGCAGAAUUGACUUCAGAGAGUAGGGCAGCAGAGCCCAGCCACAGAGUGGUCCCAGGAGCCAGGAAGUGCCACACAGCCCCUCGCUUAUUUUUACUCAGUAUGCCACAGAAGUCCUGACCUGUUAAAAGUGCCCUUUAAGAAUGGCUGGCCCACCCUCUCUCAGAGGGUUCAUGCUGGGGAGAGGGUUCCUGCAUGCCCGCUAAGCUCCAAAUGACAACCCAGGUGUAGAAAGGGCUUAGACUUUAGGGUUCAAACCCAUCCUAGAGUCCGGUCCAAGGCCAGUUACAGCCAAUGGGCAGUGGUAGGUGCAGCCCAGCCCAUUAGCUCAUUCUUGAGCCUCAGAGGGACAGAGCAGCACUAAUGGGUGCACAAAUGGCUAGAAUGUUCACCAACUCCUCGAGAGUGGCAUUGGACAUUUGGGCAAGGGUCUUAUGGAGGCUGAGAGUUGACUGUGGGCUCAUCACAGCUAUUUUGAGGGUCUUGACAGCCCAACUAGCAAACAAUUCUGCAGGGAUGAGAGGUCAGGGCAAAGGGAAAUGGCAUUGUCAAGUGGACAGCCAAAAAGUCCAGGAUGCCCCCAGGUCCUGGGGAACGGCGGGGGAGGAACUCAGGGACUGGAUUACCCACAGGACCUGGUGAGACCCACAGCCACGGGCUGACUUGUGUCCACUCAGAAGCGUAUGUUAAAAUCCUAACCCCCAGUACUUUGGAAUGUGACCUUAUUUGGAAAUAGAGACUUUGAAGAUGAUCAAG